UGGCUCAGGAUGAACGCUAGCUACAGGCUUAACACAUGCAAGUCGAGGGGCAGCAUGACGGAAGCUUGCUUCCGUUGAUGGCCGACCGGCGCACGGGUGAGUAACGCGUAUCCAACCUGCCCUUGUCCAUCGGAUAACCCGUCGAAAGGCGGACUAACACGAUAUGCAGUCCACAGCAGGCAUCUAACGUGGAUGAAAUGCGAAGGAGAAGGAUGGGGAUGCGUCUGAUUAGCUUGUUGGCGGGUAACGGCCCACCAAGGCAACGAUCAGUAGGGGUUCUGAGAGGAAGGUCCCCCACACUGGAACUGAGACACGGUCCAAACUCCUACGGGAGGCAGCAGUGAGGAAUAUUGGUCAAUGGGCGGAAGCCUGAACCAGCCAAGUAGCGUGCAGGACGACGGCCCUAUGGGUUGUAAACUGCUUUUAUGCGGGGAUAAAGUGGGCCACGUGUGGCCUUUUGCAGGUACCGCAUGAAUAAGGACCGGCUAAUUCCGUG
RNAcentral lists this ribosomal RNA (496 nucleotides) under uncultured bacterium. RNAcentral describes it as "bacterial SSU rRNA". It matches the Rfam family "Bacterial small subunit ribosomal RNA", at positions 20 to 507 of the family's 1533-position model. The record is from RNAcentral.